RNAcentral lists this ribosomal RNA (253 nucleotides) under uncultured bacterium. Its description in RNAcentral is "partial 16S ribosomal RNA". It matches the Rfam family "Bacterial small subunit ribosomal RNA", at positions 524 to 776 of the family's 1533-position model. The record is from RNAcentral.
UACGUAGGUGGCGAGCGUUGUCCGGAUUUACUGGGCGUAAAAGGAGCGUAGGCGGGCUUUUAAGUGAGAUGUGAAAUACUCGGGCUCAACUUGAGUGCUGCAUUUCAAACUGGAAGUCUAGAGUGCAGGAGAGGAGAAUGGAAUUCCUAGUGUAGCGGUGAAAUGCGUAGAGAUUAGGAAGAACACCAGUGGCGAAGGCGAUUCUCUGGACUGUAACUGACGCUGAGGCUCGGAAGCGUGGGGAGCAAACAGG